This is a long non-coding RNA of Gossypium raimondii (Peruvian cotton), 398 nucleotides long. RefSeq lists it as uncharacterized. NCBI's taxonomy places the organism in Eukaryota, Viridiplantae, Streptophyta, Magnoliopsida, Malvales, Malvaceae. The record is from RefSeq and is a predicted model, not a curated record. The transcript has 2 exons.
AUUCCCUUUCUCUGCCAUUUGAAGUUGCGCUGUAGCUUCCUCUCUUUUCAGCCAUUCAAGCCCCAUUUUCGACCAGCAACGGCGAUGUGAGGGCAUUCCGACGACACCCCAACGGUACGAGCGUGUGGCGUGCGUGGAGUGUUGAACGUGGGACGGUGCGAAGGCUGCCGAACGUGGGGCAUGUGGCGCUGCUAAUUGCUGCUAGGGUUUCUGCUGUUUUAGGCCAAUUGGGCCCUGUAAUUGGGUUUAGCUUGGCCCAAGUUUUAUUGGGUUUGGGCCCGGGCAUAUUUGGGCUUGUACACUUAUAUUUGGUUAAUCAAGUUUGUAUUUUUAAACUAACACUAUUAACUUAAAAUGUCAAAUAAAAAUUUUAAUUUACAUAUUUUUAUUUUUUAAAA